Molecule: ribosomal RNA, 549 nt
Filed under: uncultured bacterium
Lineage: Bacteria
Description: bacterial SSU rRNA
Rfam family: Bacterial small subunit ribosomal RNA
Source: RNAcentral
AGAAAAUAGAUACCCCGGUAGUCCACGCCGUAAACGAUGGGCACUAGGUGCUGGGGGGAGCGACCCCUUCAGUGCCGCAGCUAAACGCGAUAAGUGCCCCGCCUGGGGAGUACGGCCGCAAGGCUGAAACUCAAAGGAAUUGACGGGGGCCCGCACAAGCGGUGGAGCAUGUGGUUUAAAUUCGAAGCAACGCGAAGAACCUUACCUAGGUUUGACAUGCUGGUGAAAGCCUCUGGAAACAGGGGCCCUUCUUCGGAACACCAGCACAGGUGCUGCAUGGCUGUCGUCAGCUCGUGUCGUGAGAUGUUGGGUUAAGUCCCGCAACGAGCGCAACCCUUGCCCCGUGUUACUAACAGGUAAAGCUGAGGACUCUCGGGGGACUGCCGGCGUCAAGCCGGAGGAAGGUGGGGACGACGUCAAGUCAUCAUGGCCCUUACGCCUAGGGCGACACACGUGCUACAAUGGCGAGGACAGAGGGCAGCAAGACGGCAACGUGGAGCGAAUCCCAGAAACCUCGUCUAAGUUCGGAUUGUGGGCUGCAACUCGCCC